UAGGGAAUAUUAGAAAUGGACGAAAGUCUGAUCUAGCAACACCGCGUGUGCGAAGAAGGCCUUCGGGUCGUAAAGCACUUUUUGGAAGGAAUAGGAAGGAAUGUACUUCCAGAAUAAGUCUCGGCUAACUACGUGCCAGCAGCCGCGGUAACACGUAGGAGGCAAACGUUAUCCGGAUUUACUGGGCGUAAAGCGCGUGUAGGUGGUACUGUAAGUAGGGCGUGAAAGCUCCUGGCUCAACUGGGAGAGGCCGUUCUAAACUGCAGAGCUAGAGGAUGGUAGAGGGAGGUGGAAUUCCGGGUGUAGCGGUGGAAUGCGCAGAUAUCCGGAGGAACACCAGUGGCGAAAGCGGCCUCCUGGCUCAUAUCUGACGCUCAGACGCGAAAGCUAGGGUAGCAAACG
Molecule: ribosomal RNA, 402 nt
Filed under: uncultured prokaryote
Description: bacterial SSU rRNA
Rfam family: Bacterial small subunit ribosomal RNA
Source: RNAcentral